GGAAUCCGCUAAGGAGUGUGUAACAACUCACCUGCCGAAUGAAUUAGCCCUGAAAAUGGAUGGCGCUGAAGCGGGUAGCCGACACCACGCCGUCUGGACAAAGUGGUUUUUUCAGAUGAGUAGGAGGGCGUGGCGGUUGUAUCGAAGCGUGGAUGCGAAUCUGCGUGGAACAGCCGCUAGUGCAGAUCUUGGUGGUAGUAGCAAAUAUUCAAGCGAGAUCCUUGAAGGGCGAAGCGGGGAAGGGUUCCACGCGAACAUUGAUUGGGCGUGGGUGAGUCGUUCCUAAGCCGCGUGGCAAUAGCUAAUUACCGGCGAAAGGGAAGCAGGUUGACAUUCCUGCACACGGAUGUGGAGACGGCGACGAUACGUGAGGCGAUCACGCUGGCGGUGGCGCUGGGCAGAGUUGUCUUUUCUGUUUGACCAUUGAAAUACUUGCUGUGUGGAAUCCGCUUGUCGGGAGAAACACGCAGGUACGGGCAGAGCGCCGGGGCUUUUCCGGCGUCCAGCUCGCCACCGACGGCCCUUGAAAAAUUGCCUGCUGGACAACAUUUCGGUGUUGUGAGAUCCACGCCGUGGCGUACCGAUAACCGCAUCACGUCCCCAAGGUGAACAGCCUCUGCUCAGUAUGAACAAUGCAGGUAAGGGAAGUCGGCA
RNAcentral lists this ribosomal RNA (654 nucleotides) under Spyridia filamentosa. Its description in RNAcentral is "eukaryotic LSU rRNA". It matches the Rfam family "Eukaryotic large subunit ribosomal RNA", at positions 1263 to 1919 of the family's 3401-position model. Lineage: Eukaryota; Rhodophyta; Florideophyceae; Ceramiales; Spyridiaceae. The record is from RNAcentral.